GACGAACGCUGGCGGCGUGCCUAAUACAUGCAAGUUGAACGCUUCUUUCUUAUCGAACUUCGGUUCACCAAGAAAGAAGAGUAGCGAACGGGUGAGUAACACGUGGGUAACCUGCCCAUCAGCGGGGGAUAACACUUGGAAACAGGUGCUAAUACCGCAUAAUACUUUUUCUCUCAUGAGUGAAAGUUGAAAGGCGCUUUUGCGUCACUGAUGGAUGGACCCGCGGUGCAUUAGCUAGUUGGUAGGGUAACGGCCUACCAAGGCAACGAUGCAUAGCCGACCUGAGAGGGUGAUCGGCCACACUGGGACUGAGACACGGCCCAGACUCCUACGGGAGGCAGCAGUAGGGAAUCUUCGGCAAUGGACGAAAGUCUGACCAAGCAACGCCGCGUGAGUGAAGAAGGUUUUCGGAUCGUAAAACUCUGUUGUUAGAGAAGAACAAGGAUGAGAAGAGAAUGUUCAUCCCUUGACGGUAUCUAACCAGAAAGCCACGGCUAACUACGUGCCAGCAGCCGCCGUAA
RNAcentral lists this ribosomal RNA (521 nucleotides) under uncultured bacterium. RNAcentral's name for it is "partial 16S ribosomal RNA". It matches the Rfam family "Bacterial small subunit ribosomal RNA", at positions 28 to 523 of the family's 1533-position model. The record is from RNAcentral.